This 77-nucleotide transfer RNA is filed under the name Pirellula sp. RNAcentral's name for it is "tRNA-OTHER". It matches the Rfam family "tRNA". From Rfam's summary of the family: Transfer RNA (tRNA) molecules are approximately 80 nucleotides in length. Lineage: Bacteria; Pseudomonadati; Planctomycetota; Planctomycetia; Pirellulales; Pirellulaceae. The record is from RNAcentral.
AGUCGGGUACGCAAAUUGGCAAAGCGGCCAGGUCGAGAGCCUGGCGUCUGCGGGUUCGACUCCCGCUCCGACUACUA